CGACGGGCUCAUAUUGAAACCUAGUGAUGUAUGAGUUAGUGGCGGACGGGUGAGUAACGCGUGGAGAACCUGCCGUAUACUGGGGGAUAACACUUAGAAAUAGGUGCUAAUACCGCAUAAGCGCACAGCUUCGCAUGAAGCAGUGUGAAAAACUCCGGUGGUAUACGAUGGAUCCGCGUCUGAUUAGCUGGUUGGCGGGGUAACAGCCCACCAAGGCGACGAUCAGUAGCCGGCCUGAGAGGGUGAACGGCCACAUUGGGACUGAGACACGGCCCAAACUCCUACGGGAGGCAGCAGUGGGGAAUAUUGCACAAUGGGGGAAACCCUGAUGCAGCGACGCCGCGUGAGUGAAGAAGUAUUUCGGUAUGUAAAGCUCUAUCAGCAGGGAAGAAAAUGACGGUACCUGACUAAGAAGCCCCGGCUAACUACGUGCCAGCAGCCGCGGUAAUACGUAGGGGGCAAGCGUUAUCCGGAUUUACUGGGUGUAAAGGGAGCGUAGACGGCAGCGCAAGUCUGAAGUGAAAUCCCAUGGCUUAACCAUGGAACUGCUUUGGAAACUGUGCAGCUGGAGUGCAGGAGAGGUAAGCGGAAUUCCUAGUGUAGCGGUGAAAUGCGUAGAUAUUAGGAGGAACACCAGUGGCGAAGGCGGCUUACUGGACUGUAACUGACGUUGAGGCUCGAAAGCGUGGGGAGCAAACAGGAUUAGAUACCCUGGUAGUCCACGCCGUAAACGAUGAUUACUAGGUGUUGGGGGACCAAGGUCCUUCGGUGCCGGCGCAAACGCAUUAAGUAAUCCACCUGGGGAGUACGUUCGCAAGAAUGAAACUC
RNAcentral lists this ribosomal RNA (828 nucleotides) under uncultured bacterium. Its description in RNAcentral is "bacterial SSU rRNA". It matches the Rfam family "Bacterial small subunit ribosomal RNA", at positions 66 to 902 of the family's 1533-position model. The record is from RNAcentral.